Aedes aegypti (yellow fever mosquito) is the source of this 671-nucleotide long non-coding RNA. RefSeq lists it as uncharacterized. The transcript has 2 exons. The record is from RefSeq and is a predicted model, not a curated record. Lineage: Eukaryota; Metazoa; Arthropoda; Insecta; Diptera; Culicidae.
AAUUAAAAGUACAGGUACAGCAAUCUAAGCAGUCACUGGAAGCAGGGAGUGGUUAACCGAGAGGGGGUAAAGAGUGACAGUUGGCGAGUCAGUGGGCUGGUCGAUAUGUUUGUGUAUUUUGCCCUCCAAGAGUUUCCAACGUAUGCAUAGAGAUUUUUAUGUUUUUGAAAAUUAUUGCGUAUAAGGUAAGUGGGAUGAAUUAUUUUUGUUUCUUGAAAAGACGUUUUUAUUCCAGAUGCCAUCGUUUUGUCCCGAUUAAGGGAAAAUGGCUGCGAACACUAAACACCGUAGUGUGGUUGUUGGAUUGGGGAUACUAAUUUGCCGCGAAUGAACACCUAUUGAUAGCAGUCAUUGCUGAACAGGUUCUAAUACAUUGUUUAAAGUACUCUGGAAGAUUCCGUACACGGAUGUUCGUUAUUCGGGGGAAAUACGCCAUUCAGGGCUUUUAUUAUCGGCUUCCGGGAAUCACCAUCAAUGGACCCUGAACGAACAGCAUCUAUUGCUUCGUAGGUGAAAGAAAAAAAAAAAAACGGGUGAAGAGCCAUUAGAAGAGCAGGACGAACGACGCAGGAAAUGUGUUUUUUUUAGUGUAGAAAAUGAUUAUGUCAGUGAUGGAUGUCGUUGAAAAUGAAUAAAAAAUGGAAGUGAAAAGGAGUUUAAUAAAAAAUAAA